RNAcentral lists this ribosomal RNA (496 nucleotides) under uncultured bacterium. RNAcentral describes it as "partial 16S ribosomal RNA". It matches the Rfam family "Bacterial small subunit ribosomal RNA", at positions 29 to 507 of the family's 1533-position model. The record is from RNAcentral.
AUGAACGCUGGCGGCGUGCCUAAUACAUGCAAGUCGAGCGAACGGACGAGAAGCUUGCUUCUCUGAUGUUAGCGGCGGACGGGUGAGUAACACGUGGAUAACCUACCUAUAAGACUGGGAUAACUUCGGGAAACCGGAGCUAAUACCGGAUGAUAUUUUGAACCGCAUGGUUCAAAAGUGAAAGACGGUCUUGCUGUCACUUAUAGAUGGAUCCGCGCUGCAUUAGCUAGUUGGUAAGGUAACGGCUUACCAAGGCAACGAUGCAUAGCCGACCUGAGAGGGUGAUCGGCCACACUGGAACUGAGACACCGUCCAGGCUCCUACGGGAGGCAGCAGUAGGGAAUCUUCCGCAAUGGGCGAAAGCCUGACGGAGCAACGCCGCGUGAGUGAUGAAGGUCUUCGGAUCGUAAAACUCUGUUAUUAGGGAAGAACAUAUGUGUAAGUAACUGUGCACAUCUUGACGGUACCUAAUCAGAAAGCCACGGCUAACUACGUG